AGGUGAUUGUUUUUAUUAUAUUCUUAUAUUAUAAUGAUAUUUAUAUUUAUACGGUGUUGGAUUGUAGAUAUUAUCACGAUUAAAAAUGUACAAGUUGCCCAACGAAGACAAGCAUUUUGAACCAAGAAUGGACACUCCAAUAAUAAAAAUAAGUUUUAUUUGUAUUACUUGCUGGUCCCUUGUCUUGAUUCCCAAGUUUGUAUAACAUCUUUAAUCCUUAUGUUCAAUAUUAAUUGAACAGACUCCUAAGGAUGGUUUUAGAUUUAUUUUUGAAUUUAGUUUCAACAAAUUUAAAUACUUUCUUUCCUUAGGUGCAGCAAAGGUACUUUCCCCUUUAUUUGUGCAAGACGGAAUGCAACAAAAAAUUAUAAUUGUAUUUUGAAUUACAAAGUUGUG
This is a non-coding RNA of Cinara cedri, 396 nucleotides long. NCBI's taxonomy places the organism in Eukaryota, Metazoa, Arthropoda, Insecta, Hemiptera, Aphididae. The record is from the annotation of a GenBank genome assembly.